UUCGCAGGCGGAAAUGCAAGUCAGGUGUAAAAGGCAGUAGCUUAACUACUGUAAGCAUUUGAAACUGCAUAUCUUGAGAAGAGUAGAGGUAAGUGGAAUUUUUAGUGUGGCGGUGAAAUGCGUAGAUAUUAAAAAGAAUACCGGUGGCGAAGGCGACUUACUGGGCUCAUUCUGACGCUGAGGAACAAAGCGUGGGUAAGCAAACAG
Molecule: ribosomal RNA, 207 nt
Filed under: uncultured bacterium
Lineage: Bacteria
Description: partial 16S ribosomal RNA
Rfam family: Bacterial small subunit ribosomal RNA
Source: RNAcentral